Molecule: ribosomal RNA, 253 nt
Filed under: uncultured bacterium
Lineage: Bacteria
Description: partial 16S ribosomal RNA
Rfam family: Bacterial small subunit ribosomal RNA
Source: RNAcentral
UACGUAGGGGGCUAGCGUUGUCCGGAAUCAUUGGGCGUAAAGCGCGUGUAGGCGGUCCGGUAAGUCCGCUGUGAAAGUCGGGGGCUCAACCCUCGGAUGCCGGUGGAUACUGCAAGGCUCGAGUACGGAAGAGGCGAGUGGAAUUCCCGGUGUAGCGGUGAAAUGCGCAGAUAUCGGGAGGAACACCAAUGGCGAAGGCAGCUCGCUGGGACGUUACUGACGCUGAGACGCGAAAGCGUGGGGAGCAAACAGG